UACGAAGGGGGCUAGCGUUGUUCGGAUUUACUGGGCGUAAAGCGCACGUAGGCGGAUCGUUAAGUCGGGGGUGAUAUCCUGGAGCUCAACUCCAGAACUGCCUUCGAUACUGGCGAUCUUGAGUCCGGAAGAGGUGAGUGGAACUCCUAGUGUAGAGGUGGAAUUCGUAGAUAUUAGGAAGAACACCAGUGGCGAAGGCGGCUCACUGGUCCGGUACUGACGCUGAGGUGCGAAAGCGUGGGGAGCAAACAGG
Molecule: ribosomal RNA, 253 nt
Filed under: uncultured bacterium
Lineage: Bacteria
Description: partial 16S ribosomal RNA
Rfam family: Bacterial small subunit ribosomal RNA
Source: RNAcentral